ACCCAAUAGCUAGCCCCCCCACUAACAAGCAACACACCACCAUAACUACCCCCACAUGCACUAAAUAAGAUUAAACAAACCAUUUUUCCCCCUAAGUAUGGGCGACAGAAAAGGAACAUUGGAGCAAUAGAGAAAGUACCGCAAGGGAAAGCUGAAAGAGAAAUGAAACAACCCAGUUAAGUUUAAAGAAGCAGAGAUUAAACCUCGUACUU
This 212-nucleotide ribosomal RNA is filed under the name Chlorurus bleekeri (Bleeker's parrotfish). Its description in RNAcentral is "partial 16S ribosomal RNA". The record is from RNAcentral. Lineage: Eukaryota; Metazoa; Chordata; Actinopteri; Labriformes; Labridae.